GAAUUUAAUAUAUAUUUUAUUAGAUUGAUUUAUGUAAAUUAAUUUAUAGUAAGAAUAUAUUUAGUUGGGAGGAUUAUUAAAUUUAAUAAACUUUAAUUUUUGUAAAAACAUAAAUUAGUGGGGUAAAGUGAAUGAUUAAUAAAUUAAAUAAGAAUUAAUUACCUUAGGGAUAACAGCAUAAUAUUUUUAGAGAGAUCAUAUUAAUAGGAGUGUUUGU
RNAcentral lists this ribosomal RNA (217 nucleotides) under Solenopsis bicolor. RNAcentral describes it as "partial large subunit ribosomal RNA". The record is from RNAcentral. Lineage: Eukaryota; Metazoa; Arthropoda; Insecta; Hymenoptera; Formicidae.